RNAcentral lists this ribosomal RNA (463 nucleotides) under uncultured bacterium. RNAcentral's name for it is "partial 16S ribosomal RNA". It matches the Rfam family "Bacterial small subunit ribosomal RNA", at positions 28 to 507 of the family's 1533-position model. The record is from RNAcentral.
GACGAACGCUGGCGGCGUGCUUAACACAUGCAAGUCGAACGGAAAGGCCUUUUCGGAGGUACUCGAGUGGCGAACGGGUGAGUAACACGUGGGUGAUCUGCCCUGCACUCUGGGAUAAGCCCGGGAAACUGGGUCUAAUACCGGAUAGGACCGCACUUUAGUGUGUGUGGUGGAAAGUUUUUUCGGUGUAGGAUGAGCCCGCGGCCUAUCAGCUUGUUGGUGGGGUAAUGGCCUACCAAGGCGGCGACGGGUAGCCGGACUGAGAGGUUGGUCGGCCACAUUGGGACUGAGAUACGGCCCAGACUCCUACGGGAGGCAGCAGUGGGGAAUAUUGCACAAUGGGCGCAAGCCUGAUGCAGCGACGCCGCGUGGGGGAGGACGGCCUUCGGGUUGUAAACUCCUUUCGCCAGGGACGAAGCGUUUUGUGACGGUACCUGGAGAAGAAGCACCGGCUAACUACGUG